GUCCGGAUCCUCCGCCGACUCCGGAGUCCCGGAAGGAAGUAGAAGAGGCUACUGAGGCGGAUGUGGACAGGCAGCGCCGCGGCGGAAGUGAGAAGCACUCCCGGGUCAGCGCGGCGGGCGUGAGACGGGGGUGUCUGUGCAGUUCUCCUGCAGUGUACGCCGCCGCCCCCGGGUGUGUGCAGCAUAGGAGGGCGCAAGGCUGCACGGUAACUGAAGAUAGCUUUGACAAAAGAGGAGAGAAUUGAGGUCUACUCUACAAUAUCAGGAAUUAAAGCAUACAGUGAAAAGAUAUCCUUAUUAUGGAGAAGAGAGCUACAUUCUUAUGUACAGUACACAGCACAAUUUUGGCCAUAAUCUGGGGCACCUUCGCAGUGGAGCUGGAAUCCACCAACUAAGGAGCAGACUGCAGCAGGCUUACUGUCGAGUUGGUGGAGGAUGCCAUAAAUGGGUAUUUACAGAAAGGCAAUGUGUAACUUCCCACGGAUAAAUU
This is a long non-coding RNA of Pseudophryne corroboree (corroboree frog), 490 nucleotides long. RefSeq lists it as uncharacterized. The transcript is spliced from 4 exons. The record is from RefSeq and is a predicted model, not a curated record. NCBI's taxonomy places the organism in Eukaryota, Metazoa, Chordata, Amphibia, Anura, Myobatrachidae.